Molecule: non-coding RNA, 68 nt
Organism: Podarcis lilfordi (Lilford's wall lizard)
Lineage: Eukaryota; Metazoa; Chordata; Lepidosauria; Squamata; Lacertidae
Source: the annotation of a GenBank genome assembly
GAUAGCUCAGUCGGUAGAGCAUGAGACCCUUAAUCUCAGGGUUGUGAGUUCAAGCCCCAUGUUGGGCA